AAAACAUGUCUCUUAGAAAUCAUUAAGAGUCAGGCACUGCCCAGUGAUUGCUUUUUAACGGCCGCGGUACCCUGACCGUGCAAAGGUAGCAUAAUCAUUUGCCUUUUAAUUGAAGGCUGGUAUGAACGGUUUGACGAGAGUAAAGCUGUCUCACAUAUACUUAAUAAAAAUUAAUUUAAAGGUGCAAAAGCCUUUAUUACCCAAAAAGACGAGAAGACCCUGUUGAGCUUUAAUUUAGCCCAAGUAUUAACUAUAUAUUAAUAUAAUUCACUUACUCGGUAAAAAUUUUAAUUGGGGCGAUUAAGGAACACACAAAAGCUUCCUGAUUAUUCAAUAAAAUAUUCAAUAGAUUAAAUCGAUCCAGCAAUGCUGAUCAACAAAAUGAGUUACCACAGGGAUAACAGCAUAAUUCUUUUUGAGAGCUCAUAUCGAAAAAAGAGAUUGUGACCUCGAUGUUGGACUAGGGUAACCGGAAGGUGCAGCCGCUUUUCCUGCUUGGUCUGUUCGACCAAUAAUUCCCUACGUGAUCUG
RNAcentral lists this ribosomal RNA (531 nucleotides) under Vitta meleagris. RNAcentral's name for it is "partial 16S ribosomal RNA". It matches the Rfam family "Bacterial large subunit ribosomal RNA", at positions 1810 to 2607 of the family's 2925-position model. The record is from RNAcentral. Lineage: Eukaryota; Metazoa; Mollusca; Gastropoda; Cycloneritida; Neritidae.